AUGCAGUCGAGCGGACAGAAGGGAGCUUGCUCCCGGAUGUUAGCGGCGGACGGGUGAGUAACACGUGGGUAACCUGCCUGUAAGACUGGGAUAACUCCGGGAAACCGGAGCUAAUACCGGAUAGUUCCUUGAACCGCAUGGUUCAAGGAUGAAAGACGGUUUCGGCUGUCACUUACAGAUGGACCCGCGGCGCAUUAGCUAGUUGGUGGGGUAAUGGCUCACCAAGGCGACGAUGCGUAGCCGACCUGAGAGGGUGAUCGGCCACACUGGGACUGAGACACGGCCCAGACUCCUACGGGAGGCAGCAGUAGGGAAUCUUCCGCAAUGGACGAAAGUCUGACGGAGCAACGCCGCGUGAGUGAUGAAGGUUUUCGGAUCGUAAAGCUCUGUUGUUAGGGAAGAACAAGUGCGAGAGUAACUGCUCGCACCUUGACGGUACCUAACCAGAAAGCCACGGCUAACUACGUGCCAGCAGCCGCGGUAAUACGUAGGUGGCAAGCGUUGUCCGGAAUUAUUGGGCGUAAAGGGCUCGCAGGCGGUUUCUUAAGUCUGAUGUGAAAGCCCCCGGCUCAACCGGGGAGGGUCAUUGGAAACUGGGAAACUUGAGUGCAGAAGAGGAGAGUGGAAUUCCACGUGUAGCGGUGAAAUGCGUAGAGAUGUGGAGGAACACCAGUGGCGAAGGCGACUCUCUGGUCUGUAACUGACGCUGAGGAGCGAAAGCGUGGGGGAGCGAACAGGAUUAGAUACCCUGGUAGUCCACGCCGUAAACGAUGAGUGCUAAUGUUAGGGGGUUUCCGCCCCUUAGUGCUGCAGCUAACGCAUUAAGCACUCCGCCUGGGGAGUACGGUCGCAAGACUG
RNAcentral lists this ribosomal RNA (858 nucleotides) under uncultured bacterium. RNAcentral's name for it is "bacterial SSU rRNA". It matches the Rfam family "Bacterial small subunit ribosomal RNA", at positions 55 to 896 of the family's 1533-position model. The record is from RNAcentral.